This 253-nucleotide ribosomal RNA is filed under the name uncultured bacterium. Its description in RNAcentral is "partial 16S ribosomal RNA". It matches the Rfam family "Bacterial small subunit ribosomal RNA", at positions 524 to 776 of the family's 1533-position model. The record is from RNAcentral.
UACGUAGGGGGCUAGCGUUGUCCGGAUUUAUUGGGCGUAAAGAGCGUGUAGGCGGCCAGGUAGGUCUGCUGUGAAAACUCGAGGCUCAACCUCGAGACGUCGGCGGAAACCAUCUGGCUAGAGUCCGGAAGAGGAGAGUGGAAUUCCUGGUGUAGCGGUGAAAUGCGCAGAUAUCGUCAAGAACACCUAUAGCGAAGGCAGCUUACUAGGCUGUAACUGACGCUGAGGCACGAAAGUGUGGGGAUCAAACAGG